RNAcentral lists this ribosomal RNA (460 nucleotides) under uncultured bacterium. RNAcentral describes it as "bacterial SSU rRNA". It matches the Rfam family "Bacterial small subunit ribosomal RNA", at positions 340 to 793 of the family's 1533-position model. The record is from RNAcentral.
UACGGGAGGCAGCAGUGGGGAAUAUUGCACAAUGGGCGCAAGCCUGAUGCAGCCAUGCCGCGUGUAUGAAGAAGGCCUUCGGGUUGUAAAGUACUUUCAGCAGUGAGGAAGGUGGAUAUGUUAAUAGCAUAUUCAUUUGACGUUAGCUGCAGAAGAAGCACCGGCUAACUCCGUGCCAGCAGCCGCGGUAAUACGGAGGGUGCGAGCGUUAAUCGGAAUUACUGGGCGUAAAGCGCAUGCAGGUGGUUUGUUAAGUCAGAUGUGAAAGCCCGGGGCUCAACCUCGGAAUUGCAUUUGAAACUGGCAAACUAGAGUACUGUAGAGGGGGUAGAAUUUCAGGUGUAGCGGUGAAAUGCGUAGAGAUCUGAAGGAAUACCGGUGGCGAAGGCGGCCCCCUGGACAGAUACUGACACUCAGAUGCGAAAGCGUGGGGAGCAAACAGGAUUAUAUACCCUGGUAG